Molecule: ribosomal RNA, 393 nt
Filed under: uncultured bacterium
Lineage: Bacteria
Description: partial 16S ribosomal RNA
Rfam family: Bacterial small subunit ribosomal RNA
Source: RNAcentral
AUACGGAAGGUCCGGGCGUUAUCCGGAUUUAUUGGGUUUAAAGGGAGCGCAGGCUGAUGAUUAAGCGUGACGUGAAAUGUAGCCGCUCAACGGCUGAACUGCGUCGCGAACUGGUUAUCUUGAGUGAGUUCGAUGUUGGCGGAAUUCGUGGUGUAGCGGUGAAAUGCUUAGAUAUCACGAAGAACUCCGAUUGCGAAGGCAGCCAACAAGGCCUUUACUGACGCUAAAGCUCGAAGGUGCGGGUAUCGAACAGGAUUAGAUUCCCUGGUAGUCCGCACGGUAAACGAUGGAUGCCCGCUGUUUGCGAUAUACUGUGAGCGGCCAAGAGAAAUCGUUAAGCAUCCCACCUGGGGAGUACGCCGGCAACGGUGAAACUCAAAUGAAUUGACGGGG